GACGAACGCUGGCGGCGUGCUUAACACAUGCAAGUCGAACGGAUUUGUGAGGUGUGAGGUUAGAGAUUAGAAGUGGGAAAUAUAGUAGAAAUCGGCUUUGCCGAUUUCAUCAAAAAAUCUCACCUCUAACUUCUCACCUCUCACUUCUCAAAUUAGUGGCGGACGGGUGAGUAACGCGUGGGCAACCUACCCAUAAGCGGGGGAUAACAGUUGGAAACGACUGCUAAUACCGCAUAAGCUAUUAAGGUCGCAUGACCAUAAUAGUAAAGGUGGCGAAAGCUAUCACUUAUGGAUGGGCCCGCGUCUGAUUAGCUAGUUGGUGGGGCAGCGGCCUACCAAGGCAACGAUCAGUAGCCGGCCUGAGAGGGUGGACGGCCACACUGGGACUGAGACACGGCCCAGACUCCUACGGGAGGCAGCAGUGGGGAAUAUUGCGCAAUGGGGGAAACCCUGACGCAGCGACGCCGCGUGAGCGAAGAAGGCCUUAGGGUCGUAAAGCU
This 500-nucleotide ribosomal RNA is filed under the name uncultured bacterium. RNAcentral describes it as "bacterial SSU rRNA". It matches the Rfam family "Bacterial small subunit ribosomal RNA", at positions 28 to 432 of the family's 1533-position model. The record is from RNAcentral.